RNAcentral lists this ribosomal RNA (484 nucleotides) under uncultured bacterium. RNAcentral's name for it is "partial 16S ribosomal RNA". It matches the Rfam family "Bacterial small subunit ribosomal RNA", at positions 29 to 507 of the family's 1533-position model. The record is from RNAcentral.
AUUGAACGCUGGCGGCAUGCUUUACACAUGCAAGUCGAACGGCAGCGCGGGCUUCGGCCUGGCGGCGAGUGGCGAACGGGUGAGUAAUGCAUCGGAACGUGCCCAGUAGUGGGGGAUAGCCCGGCGAAAGCCGGAUUAAUACCGCAUACGACCUGAGGGUGAAAGCGGGGGACCGAAAGGCCUCGCGCUAUUGGAGCGGCCGAUGUCGGAUUAGCUAGUUGGUGGGGUAAAGGAUUACCAAGGCGACGAUCCGUAGCUGGUCUGAGAGGACGACCAGCCACACUGGGACGGAGACACGGCCCAGACUCCUACGGGAGGCAGCAGUGGGGAAUUUUGGACAAUGGGGGCAACCCUGAUCCAGCCAUGCCGCGUGCGGGAAGAAGGCCUUCGGGUUGUAAACCGCUUUUGUUCGGGAAGAAAUCCUCUGGGCUAAUACCCCGGGGGGAUGACGGUACCGGAAGAAUAAGCACCGGCUAACUACGUG